UAAACUUACACACUUGGACCCUAAACCAAGAAAACCAGAGUUAGCCAUUAGAUUGGAUCAAGAAUCAGCCCACGCAGCGAAAACCGGCAUCUGCGGCAGAGUAAGAGAAACGGUCUUGAGGUCAGCAUUAGGGUUCGUGGUCCAAGAACUCAUAUUUCCAACCACAUUUGCUCCGAACAUCUUCGGACCAACUUGAGGCAACGCAAAUAUCGUCGGAAAACUCAAAACCCUCUCCGGGCUACCCACUUCCUUAGUAGAACCACCGUCCACGACAGCGGUUAAGGCGGUUUCCUCGUCGCUAAUGUUGCGGACCACGAUGCUGUUGCUGUUCCUUCGAGCCAUCUCUCCAGACAAGAGAGUGUUACUAGCCAUUAUGCGAUCAACAUCGUACCUUGUUAUGUCAAAGUUAGUCACCGCGUUUGUGCCACGGAACUUGAUAGCUGCCACAUCAUAGGCUUCCGCCGCUUCUUCUUGAGUUCCUAAUAGGGUAAAAAAAUAUCACUUGAGAUACAAGCAAGUGAAAAGGAUUUUUACUGACCAUACAUCCAUGGGUGAAAAUUACCGAAAGUUCCAAGGUAGAGAUCUUUGUUUCCAGCGACUCUACCGAUCCGGGCUUGCCACCUUCCAUGCUGGUGAUGUCUUUUAUAAUAGAAACACGAAGUCAAUAUGAAAUAAAUAAAUAAAACUAUAUAUUAGUAUAAAGUUACUUAGAUGAAAUUAAAGGUACCUGGUGACUCCUCUAUAGAUGGAAGCACCCCUAGAGAAACCACUGCUUUUUCUUCUCAAGCCGACGCAUCUCGCUUCUCGCAUCGUCAGGAGACGCCAAAAACACUUUAUACAAAGCCCCCGCGAGUGUAUUAAUAGUCGACGCAACCGGUUUCCGCAACGUGUAGAAAGACUCGAUGUACUUGGACAACGACUCUUUAUCGGUUAAGUCAACAAGAGGGUUUAAAAGAUCACGUAGGAUGACUAUAUCAGACAAUGCCACGGUCAUACCGCCUCCGGUUAAAGGAUGACGCAUGUUAAACGCGUCACCAAGAAGGAGAGCUCCUGGCGUAGGGAUGGGGUCAGCAGGCAUGCUACGGUUCGGCAUUGUUCUUAUGUUACCUUUCUCAACAGCUGAGAGGAAGGCCUCUCGGAUCUCGAUAGGUACUUGUGGUGCAACGGUUGUUUUGAGAUGUUUAGCCAUGUCGCCGCUUGCGAGUGAAGGUAGUUUUGAGCCAGGUACGUCCACUAAGCAACGGACUUCAGAGCUGCUUAUGGGGUAGAAGAGAAUGGGUGAAGGGUCGCCGAGGACAACGUGGCCGUGGUUUGGAAAGGGAAGCUCGCAGUUCUCUAAGACGAGACCGACGAAGUUUGAUGGUACUUCUACUUUAGGUUUGCAAAGAGAGCGACGUAAGUUGGAGAAACAACCAUCGCAUACGAUGGUGAGUGGAGCAUAUGAUUUAAGUUCUUGUCCUUCUUUGGUUUUGUAUUGAACGCCUUUAAUUACUCCGUUUUCUUCUACUAAUGAUGUCACUGUUCCUUGCUCCAUUUUAACACUGAAAGAAAAUAAUUCAAGUGAGAUUUUAUAGUAAUAAGCAACCUAAAUAAAUGCGUAAACCACAAGGUGGUCGUUUAGGCGGACUUUGGCGAGCUACAAGGGUUAGAAUGCACCCCAUUAACACUUUAUCUAGUGGUCAUGUGGAUAUAAAGCUAUGCUUUAGGCCUCAUUUAAAUAUUUGAAUAGAGGGUUUAUCUAUGAGCUGCAUCUCUCCUCAUGGACUGAUUUAUGUAUUUCCAUAUGCUCGGAAUACCUCGGGUUAAUAAAAAAAAGUGUACUUCUUACUUGGGAAGUGUAGAAGCUUUCUCUCGCAUCCUCUGCACAAAUCUACCAUUGUGAAAGCUACGACCAGCCACAUCAGAAUCAAACUGAUCAAGAGGGUAAGAGAGUUUGGUGUGUUUCCCAUCUUUGAAGAGUGCAUAACCAAGAACUCUCUGCGCAUCUAUCUCCUUCACACAAUCUACAACACACACAAGUCAAGUCAGCGUUGUAAUAAUAUAGAGAUGAACUAUAUUGGUUGAUUUUGGUUUUACCUUCAAGCCCGAGUUCGAUUAACUUCAAGUAUCCACCUGGUUGAAGCAACUCACCAACAAUCCGGUCAGGUUCGGUUAAGUCUCUUUCAAUAACGUGAACUCUUCUCCCUUCCUACAACAGCCAAAAAAGAACUUUAACUUUGGUUCCGUGACGCUGACGAGAACCAUAAAAUCAGCAACAAGCAAAACCCAUGUUUCAUAUCGCAACUUGAUCCUCGAAAACAAUAACAUCCUUAAGACGAUUGUCCUUAAGAGAACUAAACCUAACAUAGCUUCUGUUGCAAGAAUUCAAUGACGCUGAGAGACAAUGAAUACUAAUAAAUUAAUAAACAAUUUAAUAAGAUUCAAACACAAACGUAUACCAAUAAAUUAUAAUAAUAAUAAUAAACAAUUCUUGAUUACCUUGCCGAGUGUAUGAGCAAGGGCAGCGCCGGCAACACCAGCGCCGACAAUGAUGAUAUCGACGUCAUUGUUUCCAGGUUUCACCGUUAGGGGUUCGUUGUUUCUGCUCACAAUCUCCUUGCUCCGACGUCGCAGGAGGUAGAGAAGCAGAGACGCGAACAAGGAGGCGAAGCAUGUUGUCAGGAUUAAGUGAUCGACGGCCAUUUAUCUCCGCCGCUCGCGAGCGACCAAUCAAUGUCGGUGAUUCGAGGAGGGUUGUUACGAAACGACGCGUAGUUUUUUUUUUGUGUAAGGAAAACGAUCUUGUUGGUAUUAUUAUGUCAAGGAUGAAGAGGUUGUGGUUGUGAAUCGAACUCGUGGCUUCUUAAUAAUUUCAUAAGUUUACAAGGACGAAAAUAAUUAAAAAUAUAGGUAAGACGUAACCUACAAUAAAUACCUGUUAACAUAAUUAUUAAAGAUAUUUUUAGUAAUUACAGAAUCAACCUAAAUACAUUAGCCAGUUAGAUAUCCGUGUGUUUCAACUUCUUUUUAACCUUAAUUUUUGUAAUGAAAUGCUAAUUAUCAUAUACUAUCUAACAGUGAUGGUUUAAUUUGUUUUCUUGUACCAAUAUAACCAAACCUUAAACACAUGGUUGAAUGACAUGUCUUGUGUGUUUCAAGUUCUUUUAACCUUAACUUUUGUAGUGAAAUGCUAAUUAUAAUUAUUCUUACGGUAUGGUUUAAUUUGUUGUUUAUACCAAUAUACCCCAAACCUGUCGAUCACGAUGACCUUCCCACAUGUGACAACGAAAAUUAUCAGAAGAAGAAGACACGUGGGAUGAUAUUGCCUUCAUAUCUCCUAUAACAAACAAACGUUACAUUUUCGACACAAUUAAAGUGCAAUUAAAUACGACUGGGACAGAAUAUCUAAGCAUAUGUGAUAUGACUUUAUGUGGACUUAAAUGUUUCCGACCCCUACAAUCUUAUUCCUACCAAUCAACCACCACAACACAAAGUUGAAUUGUUUAACGAGUCAAAUGUUUGGGCCUAAGCUGGAAAUAAUAAUGGGCCAUGGGCCGAUAUAAUACGCAUAUCUACGGGUUUAAAACCAACUCUUCCACAUCAUACGACCGAGUUUGGGCCAAUUCAUGCACACGUGUGGAACAACAUGUGCAAAAGACAUUAUUACGUAUGUAAAAUGAAAAUCAAUGGUUUCAACUUUCAGCUUUCAAGUUCAACAAAACUGAACCAACCACACAUUCAUUUAUCCCACGUAUGGGGCUACAGUGAUAUUACGUCAGGCAUCAUUAUUUCAUAGUAAGUGGCAUCAAUAAAUUCUCUCUAGUUUUUUCUUUUUUCAAAAAUUUACUAAUUUAAAUUGUUUUAUUUAUUGAAAAGUUCCCUAAAAAUCAUGGAGGACGGAAUAUUUUAAAAUUUUGGUGAAACUUUAGGUAAAAGCUGAUACUGGGGUGGGGUGUGAAAAAGAGACAAAAGAAGGGAAUGUAGAGAUGAGGUGGUGAGGUAUGUUGGAUUGUUGUGGGACGAUAUGGUCAAUAAAGCAAAUCGCAUUAUUGGAGACACAUUACAUAUUUAACUCACUUUCAUCUUCUUGUUUCGACGUACUAGAAAGAACAAAGUAUGAGGAAAAUAUAUUGAAGUGACUAGAAACCUAAUUAUUACAUAUGGGUCAUUUCAUCUCCAUGCACAUUCUCUUUUCAUAUUUUUGCCUUAUCUUUAUACGAUAUUAACAUUCUAAUCGAUUACCAAAACCAUCAAUGCCAUCAAAUCAGUCUCUAAAUGUUCACGUUUUCAAAAAAUAACUAUCUAAGUAAAUUGAGUAUCAAAACAUACAUGCUACUAAUUUGGUGUUGUUUGAGUUGGUCUAAAUCAUUUUCCACGAUUUCACCAAGAUCUUUUCCAUGAUCAGAUGACUACAAUAUCAAAAUUAUCAAUAUAAAUUUACGUACUCAUUUGAUAAUUUAUAUAUGCAACUAAGAUGCAAGGUUUGUAAAAAGAAAUGCAUUGAUAACAUAUGUUAUAGAGAGAUUCAUUCUGUUUCACAUGAAUACAACUCAAAAGAAACAUAUAACGCUCCUAAGCAGACUAUUUAUAUCGAUAAACUAAACCGAACAAUAAUUCAAACCGGAUAAACCCGGAGAUAAACUUACACACUUGGACCCUAAACCAAGAAAACCAGAGUUAGCCAUUAGAUUGGAUCAAGAAUCAGCCCACGCAGCGAAAACCGGCAUCUGCGGCAGAGUAAGAGAAACGGUCUUGAGGUCAGCAUUAGGGUUCGUGGUCCAAGAACUCAUAUUUCCAACCACAUUUGCUCCGAACAUCUUCGGACCAACUUGAGGCAACGCAAAUAUCGUCGGAAAACUCAAAACCCUCUCCGGGCUAC
This 4858-nucleotide long non-coding RNA is filed under the name Brassica napus (rape). RNAcentral describes it as "long non-coding RNA (BNAP_LNC009102)". The record is from RNAcentral. Lineage: Eukaryota; Viridiplantae; Streptophyta; Magnoliopsida; Brassicales; Brassicaceae.